GCAAAUCCUCACAAUCCCUCUGCACACAAAUCAGCAUUAAAGACGGACUUGAUACCUUGUGCUAGGAUGUAAGUAACUUUUGCAAGCUAUGGAGAAUUUGAUCAAGUUCAUACCUGAAUGAGAGUUCUUGAAGAAGACCUUUGAAACUAAACAUCAUCUAUGCUUUACCUCGGCACUGCUGUAUUUCUUGGAUGAAGGAGAGAUCUGUGACAUUUGGCUAAUCAAGGCCUGAUCCUACAACCCUUCUUUGUAAGUGGCGCCAAGUGUACAGGGGUACAACUAUCUUUUGAAUUAAAAUGAAUGAAUAAGACCUUCAUGACACAGAGCAUUGGAAGAAUAAGGUGGACAAGACACCUUGCAGUCCCCUUGUCUGAUAUACCCUGCCUAGGAGCUGGCCAUUUUUCAGGAGUGAUUUACAGCAUAACACAUCCCCACCAUAUAUCUGGAGGGAGCUGCUCUGCUCACCUUGGUUCCUGCCUUUCAAGAUAUUGCAAAGCAUGAUGAUGAGCUUCACAGAGAAAUGACUAGUGUCGACAAACCCAGUCAUCCAUGUUGUACACUGCAUUACCUAAGCCUCAAGGGAAUGUCUAUCAGCAGGUGAAUGCUGAUGGCAGAAUCCAUUAGAGCAAUGGCUUAUUUUAUUAUUUGCAUACAAGAACAUCAUGUUGUUUUUUUUAAAAAAAUGAGAAGAUGUGUAUAAAUACCUGUGAUCAUUGUUACCAUUCAGUUUGUAACCAGUCAGUUCCCUUGGAAACUUCAAAUUAAAGAUUCACAGAAGUUUAAGGACUGGAAGGACCUCAUGAGAUCAUCAGGUUCAGCCCCCCUCCUCUAGGUAGGAAAGACUACUGGGAUCAGAUAACGCCAGCAAGUUUGGCAUAGGGGCAUGACUCCAUUUCACCUGGCAGCACUUCUAAUACUAAGAGAAGAGCAGUACAGGAACUGUGCAAGUGGCUUGGCACCAUCCAAUUUUGCCCUUACAAAGGGGAAUCUUCAGGGGACCAGCUCUGUCACCCAUGUUAAGUAUAGCCUUACAUUGUGAAAUUCUCCUCAGCAUGAGUUAAACAUAUUGGCAUCUUGCUCUUAGCAAAUGACAUUGUAAAUAAUUAGCCUCUUCCAUCUAUAUUUUAAAAUCUACCAAGUCAAGUUAGUUCUUUUAAUAAUGUGUAGAGAGGUUCAAUUCUACAAGUUCUUAAAACAAAACUGAUUCUCUAACCUAUCCAUUUUCCCUCCUCUGAUUAAGGAAACACAUCCAAUUACAUAGGUAUAUUAUUAAUGCUCAUCUGCAGUGCAGUAGAAUUAAAAUUGCAAUGCCUUCCAAUCAUAGUCUAAGCCGUGCAGCAAUCAAGCAUGAAUUUAGCAAGUUCAUUUUUCCAUUAUGCUGUUUUCAACACAAAGUUACCAUAUUAGCAUAUGGUGCCAUAACAUUUGCAGUUCAAACCAAAUGAGAGUUGGGCAUAGGAAAUACAAAAUGCAACUUGCUUUAAGUACAAAUGGAGGUCAGCUUUGAGAAUCUGAAGUCCAUGCUUGGGACUGUUCUUCCUUUUAAUCACUUUUCAAAUGGAAGAUAACAAGAUCUGAUCGUAAAUCCCUAACCAUUAACAGUUACUGAAAUGAAUGGUAGAAACAGCAUAUUUAAAAAGAGAUCUCGCUACUUAAAACAUUUAAUAUUUUUACUUUGUCUCCCCAUUGACUAUUCCCCCCCCAUGGGCUAUAUCAAAACAGGUCUGAAAUUGCAUUACUGUAUCUAUUUCAAAGCUGCAUUAGUGUCCUGAAGUCUGAAUCUGCCCAUUUCAAGUUAUGCUUUUAAGUAUGUGCCACUGUAUUAAAUAUCAGAUUGGAGGGAAAGGAGAAGGAACCUUUUGAUUUUUUUUCUCUGGGCUUUUGGGUGGCAAAGAAAAACCUCCUAAAAUGAUACAUUCUCAAAGCCAAAAAGAAAGUCAAGUUUAUCUUUGAAAAAACAAUUUAAAGCACUCUUUUACAUAUUCAGUAUGUGUAACUUUAAAAGAAAUUAUGUAGUACAAAAAUUCCUUUCUUUCCUUGUUGUCCCUGACUUAUCCAUCUCUUUUGUUUUGUUUUUUUCCCUUCUUUUUUCUUUGAUUAUUUAGCAAAAUAGAUAAAACUUUGAAAAUAAUGAAUACUCUACUGCUUGUUCAAGCUUUUAUUUGUGUCAAUAUUUUUACUCUCUGUGCAAUACACUUGUCUUGAGACCUGAAGCUAACCUGGCUUGGAAGUAUCUGGAUUUUUGAAAGCCAGUAAUAAUAAUGUAUUAUUAAUCUUUUAGAUGUUUGGGACAAUGUGUAAAUAGUUUCUGUGGGGCUACUAGUUUUCAGCAUUUUUAAACUAUCUCUUGAAUGUCAGCAGCAAAAAUAUAAUGGCACUAUAAGUGGAAGAGGGUUAGGGUUUGCAAUAUCCCUUUAAUAAAGGCUGGUUAUUGUUACAGAUGAUGUGAUAUGCAUAGCAGAAGCAUUUGCUGAAAUUCUGUCCCCAAAUUAUCUUAUUAAAUUUUAUUUUGUCAUAGAAUUUAUUUUCCAUGUCAUUUAUUAAAGUUAACUGAAAACUCUAUACAGGCAGGUGCUAAGCCAGCACAAAUAAUAGGUGGAUACAUGCCAAAUUGCAUAACUAAUAGCAUGGUAGAUUACAAAUAAUGUUAAAGAAUGUAAAUGCAUAUAUUGAGUUCUUGCAAAAGUAGAUGGUGACUUGGCAGACUCCAAUGAGAACUUAUAGACUCUUACUUCCUUGAAUCUUUUUCAAAACACCCAUAAAUAUCAUAGACCAUAUAAAAACUGUCACUAAGUGUUUAUUGGGAAGCAGAACAUUGAAUAUGAAAAAUGUUACAUUUAAGAAUGACAUAAUUUGUCUUUUUUAUCAUUUUCUUCAUAAUUAAAUUCAGCAGCAAUGUUCUCAGAGUAAUGUGAAACAGUUCUGGCAAAGCAAGAAUGAGCAGAACAUUUUCAUUUUUCUUGUUGAACCUUUUCAAGCUCUUAAACUUUCUCUUAUUUUGCUAGUGAGAAUAGGAGACUUGUCUCUAGGGUCUGGCUAUUCAAACUUCUACCCAGUAAUGUAACUAAUGCUGGGUGCCAGCUUAGUGGGGUGGAAGAAGCAGGUAGAAAAAUAAAAACUACUGCUGCAACUCCACAGCCAUGGUAGUAGCAGCCAGGCAUCACCACUGCCUCAGAUGCCCAGUGGCUCUGUUAUGCCUCUACUUCUUCCUGCUUCUGACCAUGUAUUUUAGACAUCUUUCCUAUAGUAACAGUUUUUCUUUUUGCCUGCUUGUCUAGUGAAUCAUCUUUGUCUUAUAUGUAGCUGCAGCCUAAACCCUGCCUUCUUCUGAACCUUAGAAUAUGCUUGCAGGCUCCAAUGUGCAAGAGUGAGCCAUGUGUAUCUUAUUUGACAUGUUACUUCAAAAGCAAUGGUGUGUAAGCAGGUCGCUCACCCAGCUUCCUUAGCUAGGUUAAUCAGCUCUCCCUUCAAGGUUUCAAAACCACUUUUACUCCUCUCCGAGAGGCUUGGCAAUCUGCUACAAUAAACAUAUCAACCCCAAACA
Long non-coding RNA from Gavialis gangeticus (Gharial), 3544 nucleotides. RefSeq lists it as uncharacterized. The transcript is spliced from 7 exons. The record is from RefSeq and is a predicted model, not a curated record. NCBI's taxonomy places the organism in Eukaryota, Metazoa, Chordata, Crocodylia, Gavialidae.